RNAcentral lists this ribosomal RNA (497 nucleotides) under uncultured bacterium. RNAcentral describes it as "partial 16S ribosomal RNA". It matches the Rfam family "Bacterial small subunit ribosomal RNA", at positions 899 to 1397 of the family's 1533-position model. The record is from RNAcentral.
ACUCAAAGGAAUUGACGGGGGCCCGCACAAGCAGCGGAGCAUGUGGUUUAAUUCGACGCAACGCGAAGAACCUUACCUGGGCUUGACAUGUUCCUGAUCGGCGUGGAAACACGUCUUCUCUUCGGAGCAGGAUCACAGGUGGUGCAUGGCUGUCGUCAGCUCGUGUCGUGAGAUGUUGGGUUAAGUCCCGCAACGAGCGCAACCCCCGUCGCAUGUUGCCAGCAUUUAGUUGGGGACUCAUGCGAGACUGCCGGUGACAAACCGGAGGAAGGUGGGGAUGACGUCAAGUCAUCAUGCCCCUUAUGUUCAGGGCUACACACGUGCUACAUUGGCGCGUACAGAGGGCUGCGAUACCGCGAGGUGGAGCGAAUCCCUUAAAGCGCGUCUCGGUUCGGAUUGCAGGCUGAAACUCGCCUGCAUGAAGGUGGAGUUGCUAGUAAUCGUGGAUCAGCACUGCCACGGUGAAUACGUUCCCGGGCCUUGCACACACCGCCCGU